RNAcentral lists this small RNA (29 nucleotides) under Bombyx mori (domestic silkworm). Its description in RNAcentral is "ovarian small RNA-8291". The record is from RNAcentral. Lineage: Eukaryota; Metazoa; Arthropoda; Insecta; Lepidoptera; Bombycidae.
UGAUAUACGCUCAAAUGGUUCAAUAAACU